This 1121-nucleotide ribosomal RNA is filed under the name uncultured organism. Its description in RNAcentral is "bacterial SSU rRNA". It matches the Rfam family "Bacterial small subunit ribosomal RNA", at positions 282 to 1406 of the family's 1533-position model. The record is from RNAcentral.
GGUAGCUGGUCUGAGAGGAUGGUCAGCCACACUGGAACUGAGACACGGUCCAGACACCUACGGGUGGCAGCAGUCGAGAAUCAUUCGCAAUGGGGGAAACCCUGACGAUGCGACGCCGCGUGGAGGAUGAAGGCCUUAGGGUUGUAAACUCCUGUCAAGAGGGAAUAAGCAAGUGAAGGUACCUCUAGAGGAAGGGGCGGCUAAUUCCGUGCCAGCAGCCGCGGUAACACGGAAGCCCCGAGCGUUGUUCGGAUUCAUUGGGCGUAAAGGGUGCGUAGGCGGCGCGGAAAGUCCGGCGUGAAAGGCAGAGGCUCAACCUCUGGACUGCGUUGGAUACUUCCGUGCUUGAGGACUGGAGGGGAGACUGGAAUUCACGGUGUAGCAGUGAAAUGCGUAGAUAUCGUGAGGAAGACCGGUGGCGAAGGCGAGUCUCUGGACAGAUCCUGACGCUGAGGCACGAAGGCUGGGGGAGCGAACAGGAUUAGAUACCCUGGUAGUCCCAGCAGUAAACGAUGUGAGCUUGAUGUGGGGGGAUUCGACCCCUUCCGUGUCGAAGCUAACGCGAUAAGCUCACCGCCUGAGGAGUACGGCCGCAAGGCUAAAACUCAAAGAAAUUGACGGGGACCCGCACAAGCGGUGGAGUAUGUGGCUUAAUUCGAUGCAACGCGAAGAACCUUACCUGGCCUUGACAUGCAUUGUGUCGUCGGUGAAAGCCGGCUAGUCCUGGAAACAGGACGCUUUGCACAGGUGCUGCAUGGCUGUCGUCAGCUCGUGUCGUGAGAUGUUGGGUUAAGUCCCGCAACGAGCGCAACCCUUGUGGUCAGUUACUAACCGGCUUAGCCGGAGGACUCUGGCCAGACUGCCCUGUCAAACGGGGAGGAAGGUGGGGACGACGUCAGGUCAGUAUGGCCCUUAUGGCCAGGGCUGCACACGUACUACAAUGCCCGGUACAAUGUGAACCGAAACCGCGAGGUGGAGGAAAUCGCUCUUGAAAACCGGGCCCAGUUCGGAUUGGAGUCUGCAACUCGACUCCAUGAAGUCGGAAUCGCUAGUAAUGGCGUAUCAGCAACGACGCCGUGAAUACGUUCCCGGGUCUUGUACACACCGCCCGUCACAUCAUG